GCGGGUGAGUCAGAAGCCCGACCACCCGCGCGGCCCGACCCCGGCGGAUCCGCGAGAGGGCGGACCAGGCGGAUGGCAAAGCGCAAGGCCCCGCUGGGCGGCGGGCACCGGCUCCAGGUUUCCGGGAGGAGGAAGUGCGAGUCUGGGCCGAGGGCUUCCAGGCGAAAGGGCCGGGACUCCUGCAGAGGGGCCUCGGGCCCGCGGGCUCCCUGCUCUGCAGAGCUGGGAUCGCACCUACUUGCGGAGCUGGAGGAGCCGGCGCUGGCACUCGGGGGACAGGCGCUCUAGAACAUUUGUUGAACUCUGCCAUAGACUUUACACAUGGUGGGCCUUUGGGAAUGAGACCAGGCGGAUUCCCCAACCUCCACCCUGACCCCGCAGAGCCUUGAAAAGAAAUAAGCAGGAUCUUUCUUCGGAUCACUCCACUUCUUGUCUGCACUUUGGCCUUGCGGCUAAUACUGUGACCUUGAGCUGCUCCCAAGACUUUUUGGUCCUCCACGGCAACAUGAUUGUGGACACUGAAAAUUCAAAGGAAUCCCCCCAAAAUGACUAGGACGAAUAAGUGUAUUUAACAAGGUCACAAGGAGUUUCCGUCGUGGCGCAGCAGAAAUGAAUCCGACUAGGAACCAGGAGGUUGCGGGUUUGAUCCCUGGCCUCGCUCAGUGGGUUAAGGAUCUGGUGUUGCUGUGGUGUAGGUCGCAGACACUGCUCGGAUCCCGAAGUGCUGUGGUGUAGACCAGUGGCUACUGCUCCGAUUUGACCCCUAGCCUGGGAAACUCCAUAUGCUGCAGGUGCGGCCCUAAAAAAAGACAAAAGAUGAAAAAAAAAAAAAAAA
RNAcentral lists this long non-coding RNA (835 nucleotides) under Sus scrofa (pig). Its description in RNAcentral is "lncRNA (ENSSSCG00030041693.1)". The record is from RNAcentral. Lineage: Eukaryota; Metazoa; Chordata; Mammalia; Artiodactyla; Suidae.